GCUGGGCAUGGUGGCAUGUGCCUGUAGUCCCAGCUAAUCGGGAGGCUGGGACAGGAGGACCGCUUGAGCCUGGGAGUCCUGGGCUGUAGCGUGCUAUGCCAAUCCAGUCUCUACACUAAGUUCAGCAUCAAUAUGCUGAGCUCCCAGGAGUGGGGAACCACCAGGUUGCCUAAGGAGGGGUGAACUGGCCCAGGUCAGAAAUGGAACAGGUCAAAACUCCAAUGCUGAUCAGUAGUGAGAUUGCACGUGUGAAUAGCCACUGCACCCCAGCCUGGGCAACAUAACGAGACUCUGCCUCU
Molecule: signal recognition particle RNA, 299 nt
Filed under: Propithecus coquereli (Coquerel's sifaka)
Lineage: Eukaryota; Metazoa; Chordata; Mammalia; Primates; Indriidae
Description: Metazoan signal recognition particle RNA (ENSPCOG00000010908.1)
Rfam family: Metazoan signal recognition particle RNA
About the family: The signal recognition particle (SRP) is a universally conserved ribonucleoprotein. It is involved in the co-translational targeting of proteins to membranes.
Source: RNAcentral